UACGUAGGGAGCAAGCGUUGUCCGGAAUCAUUGGGCGUAAAGCGCGCGUAGGCGGCCUCAUAAGUCCGUUGUGAAAGUCAAAGGCUCAACCUUUGAAAGCCGAUGGAUACUGUGAGGCUAGAGUCCGGAAGAGGCGAGUGGAAUUCCUGGUGUAGCGGUGAAAUGCGCAGAUAGUCGGGAAGAACACCCGUGGCGAAGGCGGCUCUCUGGGACGGUACUGACGCUGAGACGCGAAAGCGUGGGGAGCGAACAGG
This 254-nucleotide ribosomal RNA is filed under the name uncultured bacterium. Its description in RNAcentral is "partial 16S ribosomal RNA". It matches the Rfam family "Bacterial small subunit ribosomal RNA", at positions 524 to 776 of the family's 1533-position model. The record is from RNAcentral.